RNAcentral lists this ribosomal RNA (443 nucleotides) under uncultured bacterium. RNAcentral describes it as "bacterial SSU rRNA". It matches the Rfam family "Bacterial small subunit ribosomal RNA", at positions 64 to 507 of the family's 1533-position model. The record is from RNAcentral.
GAGCGGUAGAUUGCUUUCGGGCAAUUGAGAGCGGCGCACGGGUGCGGAACACGUGUGCAACCUGCCUUUAUCUGGGGGAUAGCCUUUCGAAAGGAAGAUUAAUAUCCCAUAAUAUAUUGAUUGGCAUCAAUUAAUAUUGAAAGCUCCGGCGGAUAGAGAUGGGCACGCGCAAGAUUAGAUAGUUGGUGAGGUAACGGCUCACCAAGUCAAUGAUCUUUAGGGGGCCUGAGAGGGUGAUCCCCCACACUGGUACUGAGACACGGACCAGACUCCUACGGGAGGCAGCAGUGAGGAAUAUUGGACAAUGGGUGAGGGCCUGAUCCAGCCAUCCCGCGUGAAGGACGACGGCCCUAUGGGUUGUAAACUUCUUUUGUACAGGGAUAAACCUACCCUCGUGAGGGUAGCUGAAGGUACUGUACGAAUAAGCACCGGCUAACUCCGUG